RNAcentral lists this transfer RNA (72 nucleotides) under Ignavibacteriae bacterium HGW-Ignavibacteriae-3. RNAcentral describes it as "tRNA-Arg". It matches the Rfam family "tRNA". Rfam says of the family: Transfer RNA (tRNA) molecules are approximately 80 nucleotides in length. Their secondary structure includes four short double-helical elements and three loops (D, anti-codon, and T loops). Further hydrogen bonds mediate the characteristic L-shaped molecular structure. tRNAs have two regions of fundamental functional importance: the anti-codon, which is responsible for specific mRNA codon recognition, and the 3' end, to which the tRNAs corresponding amino acid is attached (by aminoacyl-tRNA synthetases). tRNAs cope with the degeneracy of the genetic code in two manners: having more than one tRNA (with a specific anti-codon) for a particular amino acid; and 'wobble' base-pairing, i.e. permitting non-standard base-pairing at the 3rd anti-codon position. The record is from RNAcentral. Lineage: Bacteria; Pseudomonadati; Ignavibacteriota.
GCCCCUGUAUUUCAAUGGAUAGAAUGCGAGCCUCCGAAGCUUGCGAUGUGGGUUCGAUCCCCGCCGGGGGUA